RNAcentral lists this ribosomal RNA (516 nucleotides) under uncultured bacterium. RNAcentral's name for it is "bacterial SSU rRNA". It matches the Rfam family "Bacterial small subunit ribosomal RNA", at positions 336 to 870 of the family's 1533-position model. The record is from RNAcentral.
CUCCUACGGGUGGCAGCAGUGGGGAAUCUUGCACAAUGGACGAAAGUCUGAUGCAGCGACGCCGCGUGAGCGAUGAAGCCCUUCGGGGUGUAAAGCUCUUUCGACAGGAACGAUAAUGACGGUACCUGGAGAAGAAGCUGCGGCUAACUACGUGCCAGCAGCCGCGGUAAUACGUAGGCAGCAAGCGUUGUUCGGAAUUACUGGGCGUAAAGCGUGCGUAGGCGGUGCUUCAAGUUUGGUGUGAAAUCUCCCGGCUCAACCGGGAGGGUGCGCCGAAAACUGAGGCGCUCGAGUGUGGGAGAGGUAGGCGGAAUUCCUGGUGUAGCGGUGAAAUGCGUAGAUAUCAGGAGGAGCACCGGCGGUGUAGACGGCUUACUGGACCAUUACUGACGCUGAGGCACGAAAGUGUGGGGAGCAAACAGGAUUAGAUACCCUGGUAGUCCACACCCUAAACGAUGCAUACUUGGUGUGAGCCAUUCAUUUGGUUCGUGCCGGAGCUAACGCGUUAAGUAUGCC